RNAcentral lists this transfer RNA (93 nucleotides) under Neobacillus niacini. Its description in RNAcentral is "tRNA-Ser". It matches the Rfam family "tRNA". Rfam says of the family: Transfer RNA (tRNA) molecules are approximately 80 nucleotides in length. Their secondary structure includes four short double-helical elements and three loops (D, anti-codon, and T loops). Further hydrogen bonds mediate the characteristic L-shaped molecular structure. tRNAs have two regions of fundamental functional importance: the anti-codon, which is responsible for specific mRNA codon recognition, and the 3' end, to which the tRNAs corresponding amino acid is attached (by aminoacyl-tRNA synthetases). tRNAs cope with the degeneracy of the genetic code in two manners: having more than one tRNA (with a specific anti-codon) for a particular amino acid; and 'wobble' base-pairing, i.e. permitting non-standard base-pairing at the 3rd anti-codon position. Lineage: Bacteria; Bacillati; Bacillota; Bacilli; Caryophanales; Bacillaceae. RNAcentral also lists the same sequence under 12 other names. The record is from RNAcentral.
GGAGGAAUACCCAAGUUCGGCUGAAGGGAUCGGUCUUGAAAACCGACAGGCGGGUCAAACCGCGCGGGGGUUCGAAUCCCUCUUCCUCCUCCA